This is a non-coding RNA of Echinostoma caproni, 32 nucleotides long. Lineage: Eukaryota; Metazoa; Platyhelminthes; Trematoda; Plagiorchiida; Echinostomatidae. The record is from Rfam.
UGACGAGUCCCAAACAGGACGAAACAGCUGUC